Molecule: ribosomal RNA, 940 nt
Filed under: Strongyloides sp. EN-2020a
Lineage: Eukaryota; Metazoa; Nematoda; Chromadorea; Rhabditida; Strongyloididae
Description: 16S ribosomal RNA
Source: RNAcentral
UAUAUGUUUUUUUUUUAUAUGUUAGUAUUGCAUACUAUGUUAGGAUUAUUUUAAAUUUUUAAAAAAUAGAAACAAGAUGUUUAAAUCACAAUUUGUUUUUUUGUUACAAAAAUAAUUUUAUUGUGUUUAGUGUUAAUAUAUCGAAUCUUGUUAUAUCUGUUUUAUUUUAAUAUAUUAGAAAAUUAUAUAUUAUUUUUUUUUUCUAGAUCUUAAUAAUUUGAAGUUUUUUUGUUUUAGGUUUUAUAACUUAAUCUUUUUUUUUUCUUGUUUUUUUUUUUAUUAUUAUAAAUUUUUAUAAUUUUUAUUAUCUAACAAUUAGUAAAUUUUAAAAUUAUGUAUUUUUUUUUAAUAUAAAUUAGAUUACUAAUUAUCCGAUCAAAUGUUUAUUAAAGACUUAGGAUUUAUGUUAAAUCUUUCUUCUGCCCUAUGGAUUUCUAAAUGGCAGUCUUAGCGUGAGGACAUUAAAGUAGCAAAAUAAUUUGUGCUUUUAUUGGGUUCGAGUAUGAAUGAAGUUUUGGUUGGUGUUAUUCUUUUUUUUUUUUGAAUUUAAUAUAUAUCUAAGAAAAGAUAUUUAUAAUAAUACAAAGAUAAGUCUUCGGAAAUUUUUUUUUUAUGUAUUUUUUUUUUUAUAUAAAAAUUUAUCUAGGGAAGAUUAUUAUAUAAUUUUUUUUCACUAUUUUUAAUAAAGGAAAUUACUCCGGAGUUAACAGAAAAACAUGCCUUAUGUAGUUCUUAUAUUUUGGUAAGUUUUACAUCGAUGUUGUAUCUUUAUUUGCUGAAGAGUAGAAAAUUCAGUUUUUCAGACUGUUCUUCUAUUAAUAAAUAAAACGUGAUAUUAGUUUAAUUCAUCGUGAGAUAGAAUUGUUUAUCUUGAUUAUUAUUUUUUUUUAUUUGGAUUAGUACGAAAGGAAUUUUAUUAUAAUUUUAAAUUUUUUAUUUU